CAGUAGCCACGGGAAUACGAAGGGUGCAAGCGUUAAUCGGAAUUACUGGGCGUAAAGCGUGCGUAGGCGGUGAGUUAAGUCUGCUGUGAAAUCCCCGGGCUCAACCUGGGAAUGGCAGUGGAUACUGGCUCGCUAGAGUGUGUCAGAGGAUGGUGGAAUUCCCGGUGUAGCGGUGAAAUGCGUAGAUAUUCGGAAGAACACCAGUGGCGAAGGCGGCUCACUGGACUGGUAUUGACGCUGAGGUGCGAGAGCGUGGGGAGCAAACAGGAUUAGAUACCCCGGUAGUCCCUGUCUCUUAUAC
This 301-nucleotide ribosomal RNA is filed under the name uncultured bacterium. Its description in RNAcentral is "partial 16S ribosomal RNA". It matches the Rfam family "Bacterial small subunit ribosomal RNA", at positions 509 to 807 of the family's 1533-position model. The record is from RNAcentral.